Molecule: long non-coding RNA, 1502 nt
Organism: Humulus lupulus (European hop)
Lineage: Eukaryota; Viridiplantae; Streptophyta; Magnoliopsida; Rosales; Cannabaceae
Exons: 3
Source: RefSeq, a predicted model, not a curated record
GAAGGAGAGGUCGGCUAUGAAUUUGGGAUCUUCAGUACCCGAAACAAAGAAUAACCAAAGUGUGGUUUAGCUGUCCCACGUGUUAUCCUCAAAUGAUUGAACCCACCACCACUCCCCACUUAGCUUCUCCAUCAAACCAUGUCCGUACGAGGCCUUACUCCAUGUGAUUAGCACCUGACUGUGGUCCAACCCUCCUAUUAUUAUUAUUUAUUUUCUUUCUUCUUAUUUGUUUCAUUUCUUUCUCAUUUUCCUAUCUCAAAUUUGGUUUUCUUUAUUUUGUGUUGUUUUUGUUCUUUUCUUUAACUGACCACACAGUGGGGAUAAGACUUUGGGUCCUCAAGAAUUUUUUUUUUCAUAUGCACACACACAUAUAUAUAGCAAAAAUCUUUGGUGGGGUGUACAAAAGGAUCGCAUAUGUGCGGCUGUGUUUCUUUGGGUUGUGAUUGAUUCAAAGCAUUAGGUAUUUGUAACACCCCAAGUUGCUAAUAAGGUUUAAGACCUUGAUUAGCGUGCCUGGAGGACAAUAAGUGAAUUAAUAUGAUAAUAUAUUAAUUUAAAUGAAUAUGUGAUUAGAAUGCAUGUUUAGGUGGUAUAAAUAUGUAUGUGGGCCCCGUUUGCAUGAUAGGGGUAAAUUGGUAAUUUUAGCUCGUUGAUGGCAUAAAUGUGAUAAUUAUAUUAUGUGGUUUGUACCACGUGGGUGUGGUGAUAUUAAUGUGAUGCACGUGCCGAGACGGUCCUAGAGAGCUAGAUAACUCAAAAGUCACAACGGGAUUUUAUACCCGGCUCGGGAGGAGCCUAGGGGUACUUUGGGGAAUUUUGUGAGUUGAGUCGAGAAUUUGUGGUUAAUGGUUAUUGGUGAUUGAGUAACCUGGGUAACCAUUAGUAACUGCUGAGAGUAACAAGUUUAGGUGGAAGAAAUGGUAGAAUUGUAAUAUAGGUGAAAGGACAAGAGUGCCCUUGAGGUUUAGUUAGGAGAGGAUAACUAUGGGAGGAUAGGAUGGUAAUUUGGCAGGGAUUUAGAUCACUUCAGCUAAAGGAAAAGGAUCAUACACGUUAUUUCAUUUGGGGCAUGUUUUGUUUAUGCUGAAAUUGGGAGAAACCUAGAGGAAAAGAGAAGAAAAGGAAGGAAGCUGAGUUUGGAACCUAGAGGAGGAAUCAAGGUGGGUUGAAGUAAUUGAAGCCAAACAAGAGUCAAGAUUUGUUAUGAGCUUGUGGAAUUAGAAGGCUUAGCUUGGAGUUGGAAGCAAGGGAGCUUAAGGUUGGAUUCUCCAUUCAAGGUAAGGGCAAAGAGAAAGUCAACCAGCCAUGAGUACGGAGAGCGUGGGGGCGGCGCGUACAUGUUUGGCCUGCCCUACUGCUUUGGUUGGGGGCAUUUUUGAGAAAUGGUUGUACUAAACUCUGUUUUUGAUAAUUUAUCAACUGUGUAUCUAUUUUGAGUUGUAAAUAGUUUACAAACCUUGUUUUGGGAUCCCAAAUGUUAAAUAACUGGAACUUUGAGUGAA